RNAcentral lists this ribosomal RNA (497 nucleotides) under uncultured bacterium. RNAcentral's name for it is "partial 16S ribosomal RNA". It matches the Rfam family "Bacterial small subunit ribosomal RNA", at positions 28 to 507 of the family's 1533-position model. The record is from RNAcentral.
GAUGAACGCUGGCGGCGUGCCUAAUACAUGCAAGUCGAGCGAACGGACGAGGAGCUUGCUCCUCUGACGUUAGCGGCGGACGGGUGAGUAACACGUGGAUAACCUACCUAUAAGACUGGGAUAACUUCGGGAAACCGGAGCUAAUACCGGAUAAUAUAUUGAACCGCAUGGUUCAAUAGUGAAAGACGGUUUUGCUGUCACUUAUAGAUGGAUCCGCGCCGCAUUAGCUAGUUGGUAAGGUAACGGCUUACCAAGGCAACGAUGCGUAGCCGACCUGAGAGGGUGAUCGGCCACACUGGAACUGAGACACGGUCCAGACUCCUACGGGAGGCAGCAGUAGGGAAUCUUCCGCAAUGGGCGAAAGCAUGACGGAGCAACGCCGCGUGAGUGAUGAAGGUCUUCGGAUCGUAAAACUCUGUUAUUAGGGAAGAACAAAUGUGUAAGUAACUAUGCACGUCUUGACGGUACCUAAUCAGAAAGCCACGGCUAACUACGUG